CUCGUGAGUGGCAAGCGUUGUCCGGAAUUACUGGGCGUAAAGAGCACGUAGGCGGUUUGGUAAGCGGAGGGUGAAAUCCCGGGGCUCAACUCCGGAACUGCUCUCCGAACUGCCAGGCUAGAGUACGGGAGAGGGCAGUGGAAUUCCUGGUGUAGCGGUGGAAUGCGUAUAUAUCAGGAGGAACACCCGUGGCGAAGGCUGCUGCCUGGAACGUUACUGACGCUGAGGUGCGAAAGCUAGGGGAG
RNAcentral lists this ribosomal RNA (245 nucleotides) under uncultured bacterium. Its description in RNAcentral is "partial 16S ribosomal RNA". It matches the Rfam family "Bacterial small subunit ribosomal RNA", at positions 524 to 768 of the family's 1533-position model. The record is from RNAcentral.